AUGAAUGAUGCAAAAGGUUAAGCUCUCAGUUGCUAACUGAAAGGUUGGAGGUUCAAGUCCUCCCAGAGAUG
This 71-nucleotide transfer RNA is filed under the name Loxodonta africana (African savanna elephant). It matches the Rfam family "tRNA". From Rfam's summary of the family: Transfer RNA (tRNA) molecules are approximately 80 nucleotides in length. The record is from Rfam by way of RNAcentral. Lineage: Eukaryota; Metazoa; Chordata; Mammalia; Proboscidea; Elephantidae.